UACGAAGGGGGCUAGCGUUGCUCGGAAUGACUGGGCGUAAAGGGCGCGUAGGCGGCUUGUAUAGUCGGAUGUGAAAUUCCUGGGCUUAACCUGGGGGCUGCAUACGAGACGUAUGGGCUUGAGUGCGGAAGAGGGUCGUGGAAUUCCCAGUGUAGAGGUGAAAUUCGUAGAUAUUGGGAAGAACACCGGUGGCGAAGGCGGCGACCUGGUCCGUGACUGACGCUGAGGCGCGAAAGCUAGGGUAGCAAACGGG
RNAcentral lists this ribosomal RNA (253 nucleotides) under uncultured bacterium. Its description in RNAcentral is "partial 16S ribosomal RNA". It matches the Rfam family "Bacterial small subunit ribosomal RNA", at positions 524 to 776 of the family's 1533-position model. The record is from RNAcentral.